Molecule: ribosomal RNA, 199 nt
Filed under: uncultured bacterium
Lineage: Bacteria
Description: partial 16S ribosomal RNA
Rfam family: Bacterial small subunit ribosomal RNA
Source: RNAcentral
ACUCCUACGGGAGGCAGCAGUGGGGAAUAUUGGACAAUGGGCGAAAGCCUGAUCCAGCCAUGCCGCGUGAGUGAUGAAGGCCUUCGGGUCGUAAGACUCUGUGGGGAGGGGACGGAAAAAGACGUGACCUAAUACGUCUCGCCUUGACGGUACCUCCUUAGCAAGCACCGGCUAACUCCGUGCCAGCAGCCGCGGUAAU